RNAcentral lists this long non-coding RNA (314 nucleotides) under Capsicum annuum. Its description in RNAcentral is "long non-coding RNA (CANN_LNC012434)". Lineage: Eukaryota; Viridiplantae; Streptophyta; Magnoliopsida; Solanales; Solanaceae. The record is from RNAcentral.
UGAACUAUGACUGGGACUGAGAUUAUAGAUAAGACGAUAAUUGAGACUGUAAGUGUAACUAAGACUGUAGCUGGGACUGAAUACUAGUUUCUGAUAACUAAGGUUUAGACUAAUAUUAAGGUACUGAAUUCUAAGUUUGAACACUGAUUACUGAGUAUUGAAUACUGAAAUUGUAACUGAGAUGGAAACUGAAUUUUGAUAGUUACAUGACGGGGGCUGACAUAAGUCAAAUAUCUAAAUGCACACUCACACUCUGUACUUUCCCAACUUCUAAAUACAACCUCUUGCUAGCCAUUUACUUGCACACUAAUAUG